This 453-nucleotide long non-coding RNA is filed under the name Elaeis guineensis (African oil palm). RNAcentral's name for it is "long non-coding RNA (EGUI_LNC005993)". Lineage: Eukaryota; Viridiplantae; Streptophyta; Magnoliopsida; Arecales; Arecaceae. The record is from RNAcentral.
AGGGGAUGCGAUCCCCCCUUCUUUUCCAUCCAAAUCCCCCACAGGAUCUUGUCGAAAUGACGGGAGGGGAGAUCUAGCUGAGGCGGCGCAACCGUGACACUCGAUCCGGGUGCUCGCCGGUGGCGAACGGCGUCGGAAAACACACAUACACAGACGGCCAAAACAGAGGUUUCAAAAUCUCGAAGUUUUCAUCAAAAAAAACAACAAUAAAUCGAUAGAAAUCCUGAUUUAUAAUCAAAAGAAAUUGAAGAAAGGAGUCUUUGAUUCAUUACCUUGCUCUUUGUGGUGUUUUUGGGCCACUAAAUCGCCGGCCAAAACCUUCAAUCCGAGAACAAGGAAAAUCGGGAGAAAGAGAGAUUUUAGGGUGAUUCACGAAGGAGGAGGCGAGGGGCUUGGGUUUUAUAGAGGAAGAAUCUGUUUUUUACUCGGAUUCCCCUCUCCUUUUCACGGUGG